RNAcentral lists this ribosomal RNA (507 nucleotides) under Triticum aestivum (bread wheat). RNAcentral's name for it is "partial small subunit ribosomal RNA". The record is from RNAcentral. Lineage: Eukaryota; Viridiplantae; Streptophyta; Magnoliopsida; Poales; Poaceae.
AUGCAGCAGGUAGGAAAGAGGCGAACCCUAGAUCUACCCGUGGUCAGAGAUUUCUGUCGACGUUCCAUCUGUUCUUCUUGCGCGUGCUUCCGAUCUGAUGGGAUUCUUGCGGUGUUGGGCGGAUUGAUCCUGCAGGGCGAUGGCACGGAGGCGCAGGUGACGUGGGAUGACCAGCAGAACAUCAACCGGUUCGGCCGCCUCAACAACCGCCUCCACGAGCUCGCCGACGAGAUCAGGCUCGCCAAGGAAGCAAACGAAAACCUCGAGGAUGCUGGGAAUGAACUCAUCUUGUCUGAUGAAGACGUGGUGCGAUUCCAAAUCGGGGAAGUGUUUGCCCACAUGCCAGUGGACGAUGUGGAAGCUAGGCUAGAGCAGAUGAAAGAGGACGCAGCUAAGAAGUUGGAGAAGCUCGAGGAAGAGAAGGAAUCCAUCCUUGCCCAGAUGGCCGAACUGAAGAAGAUCCUCUAUGGGAAAUUUGGAGAUGCCAUCAACCUGGAGGAAGAUUGA